RNAcentral lists this small RNA (497 nucleotides) under uncultured Glomus. Its description in RNAcentral is "SSU rRNA". It matches the Rfam family "Eukaryotic small subunit ribosomal RNA", at positions 591 to 1092 of the family's 1831-position model. Lineage: Eukaryota; Fungi; Glomeromycota; Glomeromycetes; Glomerales; Glomeraceae. The record is from RNAcentral.
CCAAUAGCGUAUAUUAAAGUUGUUGCAGUUAAAAAGCUCGUAGUUGAAUUUCGGGAUUAGUACGUUGGUCGUGCCUUAGGUACGUACUGGUGUUACUGGUUCCUACCUUCUGACGAACCAUCAUGUCAUUAAUUUGGUGUGGCGGGGAAUCAGGACUGUUACUUUGAAAAAAUUAGAGUGUUUAAAGCAGGCUCGCGCUUGAAUACAUUAGCAUGGAAUAAUGAAAUAGGACGUUGACCCUAUUUUGUUGGUUUCUAGGAUUGACGUAAUGAUUAAUAGGGAUAGUUGGGGGCAUUAGUAUUCAAUUGUCAGAGGUGAAAUUCUUGGAUUUAUUGAAGACUAACUACUGCGAAAGCAUUUGCCAAGGAUGUUUUCAUUAAUCAAGAACGAAAGUUAGGGGAUCGAAGACGAUCAGAUACCGUCGUAGUCUUAACCAUAAACUAUGCCGACUAGGGAUCGGAUGAUGUUAUUUUUAAUGACUCAUUCGGCGCCUUACG